AUUCCAGCUCCAAUAGCGUAUAUUAAAGUUGUUGCAGUUAAAAAGCUCGUAGUUGAAUUUCUGUACAGUCCCGGUUCUGGCUUCGGUCAAGCCGUGGAUUGUGCAUCCGCUUGCAAAUCUAGCUCGGCCUUCACUGGUCGACUAGGGGAGUAAGCCCUUUACUUUGAAAAAAUUAGAGUGUUUCAGGCAGGCAAUGGCUCGAAUACAUUAGCAUGGAAUAAUGGAUUAGGACUUUUGUCCAUUUGGUUGGUUAUUGGACAUGAGUAUGAUUAAAAGGGACAGUUGGGGGCAUUAGUAUUUAAUAGUCAGAGGUGAAAUUCUUGGAUUUAUUAAAGACUAACUUAUGCGAAAGCAUUUGCCAAGGAUGUUUUCAUCG
Molecule: ribosomal RNA, 376 nt
Filed under: Parauronema sp.
Lineage: Eukaryota; Ciliophora; Oligohymenophorea; Philasterida; Philasteridae
Description: partial small subunit ribosomal RNA
Rfam family: Eukaryotic small subunit ribosomal RNA
Source: RNAcentral